AUGCUGCAACCGCUCGAAUCAGGUUACCUUAAGCAUUCGCUCCGGCGAGUCACCUGAAUAGGCGAGUCUUAUUUUAA
RNAcentral lists this small RNA (77 nucleotides) under uncultured Planococcus sp. The record is from RNAcentral. Lineage: Bacteria; Bacillati; Bacillota; Bacilli; Caryophanales; Caryophanaceae.